This 409-nucleotide ribosomal RNA is filed under the name uncultured Desulfobulbus sp. RNAcentral describes it as "bacterial SSU rRNA". It matches the Rfam family "Bacterial small subunit ribosomal RNA", at positions 977 to 1382 of the family's 1533-position model. The record is from RNAcentral. Lineage: Bacteria; Pseudomonadati; Thermodesulfobacteriota; Desulfobulbia; Desulfobulbales; Desulfobulbaceae.
GGUCUUGACAUCCCGGAGACCCUUAGGAACUAGGGGUGCUUCCAUCUGGAAGAAUCUGGAGACAGGUGCUGCAUGGCUGUCGUCAGCUCGUGUCGUGAGAUGUUGGGUUAAGUCCCGCAACGAGCGCAACCCUUGCCUUUAGUUGCCAGCAGUUCGGCUGGGCACUCUAAAGGGACUGCCGGUGUUAAACCGGAGGAAGGUGGGGAUGACGUCAAGUCCUCAUGGCCUUUAUGACCAGGGCUACACACGUACUACAAUGGCCGAUACAAAGGGCAGCGACACUGCGAGGUGAAGCCAAUCCCGUAAAAUCGGUCUCAGUCCGGAUUGGAGUCUGCAACUCGACUCCAUGAAGUUGGAAUCGCUAGUAAUCGUGGAUCAGCAUGCCACGGUGAAUACGUUCCCGGGCCUU